UAUUGGGCAAUGGGCGCAAGCCUGACCCAGCAACGCCGCGUGAAGGAAGAAGGCUUUCGGGUUGUAAACUUCUUUUGUCGGGGACGAAACAAAUGACGGUACCUGAGGAAUAAGCCACGGCUAACUACGUGCCAGCAGCCGCGGUAAUACGUAGGUGGCAAGCGUUAUCCGGAUUUACUGGGUGUAAAGGGCGUGUAGGCGGGAAGGCAAGUCAGAUGUGAAAACUAUGGGCUCAACCCAUAGCCUGCAUUUGAAACUGUUUUUCUUGAGUGCUGGAGAGGCAAUCGGAAUUCCGUGUGUAGCGGUGAAAUGCGUAGAUAUACGGAGGAACACCAGUGGCGAAGGCGGAUUGCUGGACAGUAACUGACGCUGAGGCGCGAAAGCGUGGGUAUCAAACA
Molecule: ribosomal RNA, 398 nt
Filed under: uncultured bacterium
Lineage: Bacteria
Description: bacterial SSU rRNA
Rfam family: Bacterial small subunit ribosomal RNA
Source: RNAcentral